Molecule: long non-coding RNA, 821 nt
Filed under: Lactuca sativa (garden lettuce)
Lineage: Eukaryota; Viridiplantae; Streptophyta; Magnoliopsida; Asterales; Asteraceae
Description: long non-coding RNA (LSAT_LNC006098)
Source: RNAcentral
CUUUAAGUAAAAAAGAAACAGCCUUACUGAAUUAAGUCUUGUUCAGUUGUUCUGAUUAAGAACAUUCAGUCAAAACUAAUAAAGUGCAAAAUUAAUCCAUGAGUCCAAUGUUAGCUUCUCAUCCAUCCUAUAUAAGAUAUCAUGAGUCAUUUAUCAGUAACAAAUACAUAGAGAAUUUCACAUAUAAAUUAGUUUUACACUUAACCUGAGCCCUGUUCUACGUCACACAAUCACAUACACCAGAUAAUAAGGCUAAAUGCAAUAAAUACAGACAUUGUUUUGUUAGUUUGUUUACACUAAAAUGUCAACUAGUCAUCAAUUAGCAAAACAUAAGCAAAUAGGAGUGGGUUUUACUAGAAAGUAGAAACCCCAACGAGAAGAGGGAAAAAUAAAAUAAGAUUAAAAAAAUAGCAAUCAACCUUCGGUUCUUUCUUAUUCAAACAACUAUUUUAUAUUUAAAAGGAAAUCACAAUACCUUAAUCACAAAAAAAAAAAAAAAAAAAAAAAAAAAAACCUAGCAAAAACUUACAAUGAUCUUGAUAAUUUUUUGGACAAGAGAGAUGAAUGAGAGUAUCCUGCGAAGGUUGGGGGUGUUUACGUCUCCGGUAGUGUAGUUACAUAGAUCGCUACGGGUUUGGUUGUGUUUGGGUUUGUUGAGAGCGGAAUGAUGAAUAUAACGCUCGACUACAAACCAGUCCUUUCGAAUUCCAAGGGCUUCUUAGAUCUCCGGCGAAGGAAGGUGGUUCUUUGGUCUCCGGGGAGCGGAGAUCGCCAUGGGUCUCCCGGGUUGGGUAUGUUAGAGCGGGAUAGCUGAAGAACGU